GGUGGUGAGACGAGUGAGGGGCGUGGCCAGAAGGGCGUGGUCAGGGAGAAGGAGGCCCGGAUUUACUUUACCGGUGAGAAAAAGCCAGAGAUGCAGAGAGUGAAGUGGAGCCAAGGGCCGGACCUGUAGAUCUCUGUCCUGCACAUGUGAUGGGCUCCUGUCCUCAGGUCCAUUCGGAGCAGUGGCAGCUGUCCACCAGCCAGAUACCUGUUCAGCAAAUGCAUCUGUUUGACGUCCACAAUUACCCGGACUAUGUUUCCUCGGGCGGUGGAUUCGGGCCUGCUGAUGACCAUGGUUAUGGUGUUUCUUAUAUCUUCAUGGGGGAUGACAUGAUCACCUUCCACAUCUCCAGCAAAAAAUCAAGCACAAAAACGGAUUCCCACAGGCUGGGGCAGCACAUUGAGGACGCACUGUUGGAUGUGGCCUCCCUGUUCCAGGCGGGACAGCAUUUUAAGCGCCGGUUCAGAGGGUCAGGGAAGGAGAACUCCAGGCACAGGUGUGGAUUUCUCUCCCGCCAGACUGGGGCCUCCAAGGCAUCAAUGACAUCCACCGACUUCUGACUCCUUCCAGCAGGCAGCUGGCCUCUCCAGGGAAUAAGGGUGAAGAUUGUCACAGCUGGCUGACACAGGACAGGGGCAGCCAGUUUGGCAACCCCACAUCCAGGCCAAUAAAGAUGUGUGAGCUGGG
Molecule: small RNA, 687 nt
Filed under: Pongo abelii (Sumatran orangutan)
Lineage: Eukaryota; Metazoa; Chordata; Mammalia; Primates; Hominidae
Description: retained intron
Source: RNAcentral